Molecule: long non-coding RNA, 1704 nt
Organism: Neofelis nebulosa (Clouded leopard)
Lineage: Eukaryota; Metazoa; Chordata; Mammalia; Carnivora; Felidae
Exons: 4
Source: RefSeq, a predicted model, not a curated record
UAUAUACUCUCAGAGUCAUUUCCUGAUGGAUAUUUUGGUUGUUACAUUUCCAGUUGUUGCAGCAGCGAUGAUGACUCUGACACUCUUCUUUCGAGUUUUGGGUCCAAAGACCAAGAAAUGUUAACUGUUUGUCCAUGAUCACAUAAUCUAAAAAGUGGCUAAACCAGAACUGCAAUCAAGUUCUAUCAGAAAACAAUAAUUAUGGUUUCAUAAACAAUCUAAAAUUUCAUAAAAUAAAUCUUUCAUAUAUUAAUGAUGUCCAUUUUCAGGAAAUGGACAAAGAAAGCCAGACCUGCCUGAAACAUGAAGACAGAGAAUUGUAUUUUCUGAGCCCAGAUAACAGGCAAAUGCAAACUCAAGAAAAAAUUUGAACAAAGUACGUUUUGCCUAGUGCAAUUGUUGUGAACAAGUGAAGAAGAAAAAACUGAAACUUGAAAAAGAAGCUGAUUGCAUUUUUUCGUCAGUGACAUCUUCAUAAACAAUUGAACAGAAUUAUUUUCAAUGGCACCUGGGAAAUAAAUUUCUGAAACAAAAUUGUAGAGUCUCCAUAUAAUGUGAUCUUCCAAAAUGUCUGACCUUCCUGAGCUAGCAUCGAGACUAAGCUUAGUCAGCUUAUAGGCUGCUGAUUCGCACACCUUUCCACAUUUGUUCAAAACCUAUUUCCUGCAACGUGGAGACUAUGAAGCUAGUAUGAGAAUAGAUUAUCACACUUUGGAUACCGCUUCAGAGAACUCUGAAAAGGAAGAGGAAGAAGUCAUGGGGUGCAAGCAACAGUCAUGUUCAAAUGGGAAUAACACUUAACUUCUUAAAAUUCCAUGUUUAAAUACUACAAUGAAAAGGGUUUAAAGUACUUUCUACAAGUUAUUUUGAAUUAAAAAAUAAUUCAAGCCACAGGGGCAACCAUUACAGUAAAGAUGAAAUACUGCUUCAAUACCUAUUCGGACAUGGAAACUAGCUCAAGUGAGAAUUUAACAAUGAUUUUUUGCUUUUAUUGGCCCCUAUUUACCUUGACUUCUUUUCUCUUCUGUUCUCCCUAUUUUGUAUCAAAAUAUUAGAUGCCAAUGGUGAAAAAAAAAUAAUUUUGUAAUGAAAAGUUUUCUCAUUUCAAAUAACAUCCUACACCCAGUCUAGUAUCCUGUGUAAGCACUAUUUACAUGUUUGUUUUGUUUUGUUAUGUUGUGUUGUGUUGUGUUGUGUUGUGUUUUUUAGGGUGGAUAAGGUUAUAGCUCUAAAAACAUUAUUAUAGCAAUGAUUGUGGAUUUAACUAUCGGUGCUUUAUAAGGAAAAAAACACCUAACUUCUGGUUCAUCCAAAUAAUAGUCUUAAUUGAUUUUACAUUUUUGACAAGCACAUUAUUAUACUGUGGUAUGAUUUUUACAUGUUUUAUUGAUUAUUUUUGUAACAAUACAUAGUAUUCUUAAAAUUCAGUUUCUUUUUCCAUGAAGUUUAUAUUACUCUUUUUAUUUCAGAUUACCUGUCACUUUUUUCAGUCAAUAAAUAUUUCUUGAGUAUCUACCAUAUUCCAGAAUCUGUUUCAAUCAAAGAGGGUUCAGCAGAGAGCAAAAUAGGUAAACAAAAAACCAAAAAUAUUCUUGUCCUCAAGGGCUUACAUUCUAAUAUAAUAGCUCCAAAUUUCAAUGGCAUGAACACCGUGUGCCUGACAAAUAUUUCUAGCAUCAAGGUCAAAUACAAUCCCUUUUCCUG